CCUACGGGGGGCAGUAGUGAGGAAUAUUGGUCAAUGGACGAGAGUCUGAACCAGCCAAGUAGCGUGAAGGAUGACUGCCCUAUGGGUUGUAAACUUCUUUUAUAUGGGAAUAAAAUGUUCCACGUGUGGGAUUUUGUAUGUACCAUAUGAAUAAGGAUCGGCUAACUCCGUGCCAGCAGCCGCGGUAAUACGGAGGAUCCGAGCUUUAUCCGGAUUUAUUGGGUUUAAAGGGAGCGUAGGUGGAUUGUUAAGUCAGUUGUGAAAGUUUGCGGCUCAACCGUAAAAUUGCAGUUGAAACUGGCAGUCUUGAGUACAGUAGAGGUGGGCGGAAUUCGUGGUGUAGUGGUGAAAUGCUUAGAUAUCACGAAGAACUCCGAUUGCGAAGGCAGCUCACUGGACUGCAACUGACACUGAGGCUCGAAAGCGUGGGGAGCAAACAGGAUUAGAUACCCCGGUAGUC
This 460-nucleotide ribosomal RNA is filed under the name uncultured bacterium. Its description in RNAcentral is "partial 16S ribosomal RNA". It matches the Rfam family "Bacterial small subunit ribosomal RNA", at positions 338 to 795 of the family's 1533-position model. The record is from RNAcentral.